Molecule: long non-coding RNA, 2118 nt
Filed under: Ananas comosus (pineapple)
Lineage: Eukaryota; Viridiplantae; Streptophyta; Magnoliopsida; Poales; Bromeliaceae
Description: long non-coding RNA (ACOM_LNC005985)
Source: RNAcentral
CGAUCGAUUCGAUCCUUCAUCGCCCCUCCCCAAUAAGGUUGGUGAAUUCUCCUUAUGCGUGCAACAAUGUCUGUUGAGAUCGAUCGUCGCCGUAUCUAUCUAGGGUUUCGAUUCGCGUCCGUAUGUGCGAUCUCGCGUUUGUGGUAAUUGCUUGUUGAAUCGCUUAUAGGUUGUAUCGAUCGUCUGUAAAAAGCUUUAUAUUUUGCGUACUUUUUUCAUGUAUGUUUGUGCUGUUGGGAGGGUGGAAGGGAUUAAUGAUGUUGUUUUGUCUANAUAUAUAUAUAUAUAUAUAUAUAUAUAUAUAUAUAUAUAUAUAUAUAUAUAUAUUGAAAACUGCCACCGACACCGAAUUAAAGAUGUUUUUGAUAAUCUUAAAAAUUAAAAUCCAAGAGUGAUAAACUUUUUUUUUUUCUUCCUGGUUUGCCUGUAGGUUGGGGUGGAAAAGACCCGAGCUCGAGUGAGCUUUUAUCAGUUUAAGUUUGGCUUGAAAUUAAUUUCGAACCUAAAUUUAGACUCAAAUUCAGUUUAAAAUUAAUUCAAGUUGCUUCAAAUCAAGUAAGCUCGAACCCUAAAUGAGCCGUCUGAAUUUUCUAACCUCGUGCAACCUAUGAUUUAAUUUUUAUAAAAUAUUAUCUAGAAUUUGACACAAGAAUACAUCCGAUAGUUUAACAUACAAAAAUAAUUAUAUGAAAUAAAAUAGCAUAAUAUUGAAAGAUAAUUUAUGAGUUAAUAUAUCUUAUAUUGUAAUGAAUGUCUAUUUCUUUCGCCUCCCAUCUCUAUAUUUUUCCUUUUCUUCUAUGUUGUCUAAAAGUGAAUAAAUUAUAUAAGAAAGGGGGAGGAUCUCAAUUUUUUUUCAAAAAUUAAUGAAAUUUUAUGAAGCUUUUUUUCCUGAUUUUUUUUAAAAAAAAUAUUUUCCAUAAUUUUUUAAAAGGCAUUCCAUGUGGUGGCGAGAGAGAGAGAUUUGGCCCAACUCAUUUACAAUCUCAGCCCAAUAUAUUUCACUCCUGGGCAGUUAUAGACCAGCCCACGGCCCAAUUCUCCGCAUGAAUGUUUGGCCGUUGAGUGAGGCGUACGAGGUGUACGGAUACACCGCGCGCAGCCAACAAUUUCGCUAAAUCUGACGACACCAUGUUGGUCACGAGCCUUUUUCUAUGGUUUGCUGCGUAAAAUCUUAAAUCGAUCAAACACCGUCCGUUUCCCACGCCGUCAAUUAACGGCCCUCCUCAUCGGGGCCACCCCAACGGCCCCCCAUUCCUUCGUCCUCCUCUUCCUUUUCCUCCUCCUCUCUCAAUACAUUCGCUCUUCCUCCUCGUACCUACAUCACGAAACCCUAAUCUCAUCGUCUUCUUCUUCUUCGAUCGCCAUGGGCGAGAUGGAGAACUCGAGCAUCCUCUCGUACGAGAAGCUCGAGGGCGUGGCGAGCUGGGUGGGGACGAGCGUGGCCUCGGCGUUCUUCGCCUCGCUCGAGCGGUGCUCCUGCAUCAACCUCAGCACCGCCGAGGAGGACGAAAACGACGACGAGGAGGAGGCCAAGGAUCGCCCCCUCAUGCUCACCAAACCCGUCCUCCACGACGACGACUCCACCAAACCCUCCCCCGUUUGAUCCCCAUCGAUCGAUUCGAUCCUUCAUCGCCCCUCCCCAAUAAGGUUGGUGAAUUCUCGUUAUGCGUGCAACAAUGUCUGUUGAGAUCGAUCGUCGCCGUAUCUAUCUAGGGUUUCGAUUCGCGUCCGUAUCUGCGAUCUCGCGUUUGUGGUAAUUCCUUGUUGAAUCGCUUAUAGGUUGUAUCGAUCGUCUGUAAAAAGCUUUAUGUUUUGCGUGCUUUUUUCAUGUAUGUUUGUGCUGUUGGGAGGGUGGAAGCGAUUAAUGAUGUUGUUUUGUCUAGCGUAAUUAUAUUUAUUUGGUUUGGGAUUUUCGUAUUUGUUCCAUCGAAAUCGUAUUGAAGCGAGAUCUAUAUAACCUUGGAGUAUUAUGUUCCAUCGAAAUCGUAUUGAAGCGAGAUCUAUAUAACCUUGGAGUAUUAUUUUGGGAUGUUUCCUGGUUUGUUUUGCAAUUUUCAUUGUAAUCACAUUUGUUGACUUUGGUUAUUGAAUCAAAUUUGUUUCCUAGUUAGCAAACUA